This 467-nucleotide ribosomal RNA is filed under the name uncultured Delftia sp. Its description in RNAcentral is "bacterial SSU rRNA". It matches the Rfam family "Bacterial small subunit ribosomal RNA", at positions 337 to 796 of the family's 1533-position model. The record is from RNAcentral. Lineage: Bacteria; Pseudomonadati; Pseudomonadota; Betaproteobacteria; Burkholderiales; Comamonadaceae.
UCCUACGGGAGGCAGCAGUGGGGAAUUUUGGACAAUGGGCGAAAGCCUGAUCCAGCAAUGCCGCGUGCAGGAUGAAGGCCUUCGGGUUGUAAACUGCUUUUGUACGGAACGAAAAAGCUUCUCCUAAUACGAGAGGCCCAUGACGGUACCGUAAGAAUAAGCACCGGCUAACUACGUGCCAGCAGCCGCGGUAAUACGUAGGGUGCGAGCGUUAAUCGGAAUUACUGGGCGUAAAGCGUGCGCAGGCGGUUAUGUAAGACAGUUGUGAAAUCCCCGGGCUCAGCCUGGGAACUGCAUUUGUGACUGCAUGGCUAGAGUACGGUAGAGGGGGAUGGAAUUCCGCGUGUAGCAGUGAAAUGCGUAGAUAUGCGGAGGAACACCGAUGGCGAAGGCAAUCCCCUGGACCUGUACUGACGCUCAUGCACGAAAGCGUGGGGAGCAAACAGGAUUAGAUACCCCAGUAGUCG